UACGGGGGGGGUAAGCGUUGUUCGGAAUUACUGGGCGUAAAGGGCUCGUAGGCGGCCAACUAAGUCAGACGUGAAAUCCCUCAGCUUAACUGGGGAACUGCGUCUGAUACUGGAUGGCUUGGAUUUGGGAGAGGGAUGCGGAAUUCCAGGUGUAGCGGUGAAAUGCGUAGAUAUCAAGAGGAACACCUGAGGUGAAGACGGGUUGCUGGGCUGACACUGACGCUGAGGCGCGAAAGCGUGGGGAGCGAUCCGG
Molecule: ribosomal RNA, 253 nt
Filed under: uncultured bacterium
Lineage: Bacteria
Description: partial 16S ribosomal RNA
Rfam family: Bacterial small subunit ribosomal RNA
Source: RNAcentral